Long non-coding RNA from Drosophila nasuta, 370 nucleotides. RefSeq lists it as uncharacterized. The transcript has 2 exons. NCBI's taxonomy places the organism in Eukaryota, Metazoa, Arthropoda, Insecta, Diptera, Drosophilidae. The record is from RefSeq and is a predicted model, not a curated record.
CGAAAGUUCACUGUAUUUUGGUCUUUGAGCAUUGGGGAAUCCCCGAAAAAAUUAACCAACAAUUCCUAACACAACAUUUGUGGAACAAAAAGAUUUUGUGCUUCACAAAUUUUUAAGAUUGACUUACGAAAUUGAGCAGACGCUGCAUGGCCAGCUCAUGCGACCAGAUGCACUCGCAGCCAUCGAAUUCAUCAGCCAUUGUUUAUGUUUUGAAGAGUUUCUCUGGAGGAUUCCUUUGAACUGCGGCACCACAGACUGCAAAGAAAAUGCUAUAUUAUUUAUGAUGUUAUCUGUCAAUUGUUGGGCAUUUAUUUGUGUUGAUGUCCACUGACUGACGUGGCUUUAGCUUUCACAAGAGAAUAAAACACAA